RNAcentral lists this transfer-messenger RNA (399 nucleotides) under Patescibacteria group. RNAcentral's name for it is "CG10-46-32 sp016177305 Standard tmRNA". It matches the Rfam family "transfer-messenger RNA". From Rfam's summary of the family: Bacterial tmRNA, also known as 10Sa RNA or SsrA, is named for its dual tRNA and mRNA-like properties. Its role is to liberate the mRNA from a stalled ribosome. The record is from RNAcentral. RNAcentral also lists the same sequence under 1 other name.
GGGGGUGUUAAAAGUCGCAAGAUACGUUCACGGUUAUUUCGCAAUCCGUCACUGCUUGAUGUGACGCAAAUACCUCAAGCACCUACACAAAUGCAAACAGCAUUGUCAGCAGAGUAACGAGUGCGCUCGCGCGAGCGUUCGCAGUUCCGAGCUUUGCGCCAGUUGUAGCCUAAUACGCUUGCAACCGUCACCGCUCUAGGCCUGAAUGGAGCGAUCGUGGCGUCAUACUUCAGGACGCAGCCGGAGUGUGCCUCGCGCUCCGGCAAAGCCUACGAGGAUAGCCGCGCGCAUGUUUUGCCUGCUUUGAGUGCGCGCCGCGAAUACCAUAAACAGGCUAUGAUUGUAGACCGAUUCCAGUGACGCAUCUUCACGCGGGAGAAUAGCCCGCCACCUCCACCA